CAUUUCUGGUGCAGUUGGUCAGGAUUUUGGUGUCAGUUUUUCAACUUUUACAUUAAUUUAUAAAAUCAAAAUAAUGCGUGUCGACUGACAAAAAAUGCACAACCUAGAAGGUGAGAAUUAUGUUAUAUUCAGCGGACUUUCUAAGGACUCACGCGCCGGAAGACAGCCUCUCAGCUCGAGGGACUGCUCCUAAGAGCCCUCUUGGCGCCCUCUCAGUAGACUUCCCGCUGCUAAUUUCUGCCUUGUAAAACACACUUAUCUGCGUGCUUCUUUUGGAUGAUGAUGUGCCAACCAUUUGUCACUGGGCAGAAGCUGGUACCUGGAUGUUUCUGGUUGGAGGAUUCAGACAGCAGCAUUCCCUGCCUCCCACAACCCACUACAGGCUCCUUUGUAAUCUCUGAAUUUGCACGUGGGCGUAGAGGUGCCUCUUGAGAAAAUCCGCCCCCGCCCCAGAUUUCACAUGAAGAAGUCGCCGGAGUUGGGAGGGAUUUAGAGACAUCAAAUAAAAUAUUUCUCAGAUUCAAG
Molecule: long non-coding RNA, 525 nt
Organism: Bos taurus (domestic cattle)
Lineage: Eukaryota; Metazoa; Chordata; Mammalia; Artiodactyla; Bovidae
Source: Ensembl